CUCAACUCUACACUAUACAUGGAACUCUGAAUUGACUAAGGACCAUUGAAUUGUACACUUUAAACAGGGGAAUUUCACGGGAAGAAAUGGUGCAUCCUGGAGACAGGCGGCCACCCCUGGCUUCCAUCCAGUCCCUCUGAAGGACGCUGGAUGAGAAGAAGACACAGGGGGGAACUCAGGACAGAGCUGAGGUUCCAGGGCACUGGCUGAGGCUGUCCGAGGUCCUGCAUCCCGGGGAGACGGAAUUCUCUACAGAGUCAACGCUCCAACUACCACGAUCCCAGAAACAGCCAGGAAAGCAUCGAACUUGCUGAACCAUGACUACCGAAGCUCUGAAAAUCCACAGGGAACCAUUUCUUUAGAAAGGACACCAGGGCGCCCUUCUAUCCUCGGGGGAUGCUCGGCUCUUUGUGUUUCUCCCCGCCCUUCCCCCACUCCUCAUUUCUGCCCUUCCUUCCCAUUUUUAGAGCCCCUGCCCAUCAUGCAUUGUCCCCUUGACUGUUCUGUCACAGUGGCCCUGAGUGACCGUCUUGUUUCUCACUCUCCCCACAGCCUCCCAUCACAUUUCACCCUGAAUGGAGGCCCUGGCCAGGGACCUUGGGGCAAGGUCACGGAGGCAGGAGCCACCUCCAUCAGGCCAUUUGGGCCUUGCCCAGCCCAGCGCCCCUCAGCCCUAGUGCGGGUCCCACAGCAGCUUCUUCCCCGUCUUAGUCCCAGCCUGGCACCCUGUCCCUCCUUAUGGUCUGGAUCCUGACACAGAGCCAGG
Molecule: long non-coding RNA, 766 nt
Filed under: Homo sapiens (human)
Lineage: Eukaryota; Metazoa; Chordata; Mammalia; Primates; Hominidae
Description: HSALNT0270153
Source: RNAcentral